Molecule: transfer RNA, 72 nt
Filed under: Aprasia parapulchella
Lineage: Eukaryota; Metazoa; Chordata; Lepidosauria; Squamata; Pygopodidae
Description: tRNA-Ser
Rfam family: tRNA
About the family: Transfer RNA (tRNA) molecules are approximately 80 nucleotides in length. Their secondary structure includes four short double-helical elements and three loops (D, anti-codon, and T loops). Further hydrogen bonds mediate the characteristic L-shaped molecular structure. tRNAs have two regions of fundamental functional importance: the anti-codon, which is responsible for specific mRNA codon recognition, and the 3' end, to which the tRNAs corresponding amino acid is attached (by aminoacyl-tRNA synthetases). tRNAs cope with the degeneracy of the genetic code in two manners: having more than one tRNA (with a specific anti-codon) for a particular amino acid; and 'wobble' base-pairing, i.e. permitting non-standard base-pairing at the 3rd anti-codon position.
Source: RNAcentral
GAGAGACAAGCAUAAGAGGAUGUGCGGUUAGCUUGAAACUAAAAGGAGGGGGUUCGAGUCCUUCGUCUCUUG